This 253-nucleotide ribosomal RNA is filed under the name uncultured bacterium. RNAcentral describes it as "partial 16S ribosomal RNA". It matches the Rfam family "Bacterial small subunit ribosomal RNA", at positions 524 to 776 of the family's 1533-position model. The record is from RNAcentral.
UACGGGGGGGGCAAGCGUUGUUCGGAAUUACUGGGCGUAAAGGGCUCGUAGGUGGCCAACUAAGUCGGACGUGAAAUCCCUCAGCUUAACUGGGGAACUGCGUCCGGUACUGGAUGGCUUGAGUUUGGGAGAGGGAUGCGGAAUUCCAGGUGUAGCGGUGAAAUGCGUAGAGAUCAGGAAGAACACCGGUGGCGAAAGCGCUCUGCUAGGCCGCAACUGACACUCAUGGACGAAAGCUAGGGGAGCGAAUGGG